RNAcentral lists this long non-coding RNA (329 nucleotides) under Erythranthe guttata (spotted monkey flower). RNAcentral describes it as "long non-coding RNA (EGUT_LNC000137)". The record is from RNAcentral. Lineage: Eukaryota; Viridiplantae; Streptophyta; Magnoliopsida; Lamiales; Phrymaceae.
GCAAACCAAAAAAUAGCCUCAAAUUGAAGUCGGCAUAACAACAAAGAACCUGUAUAAUUCUUCAAAGCUUAGUUUGUGCUUAUAAAUCUUGUAAAUUACAUGCUCUAAAUUUUUUGUGUUUGAAAGCUUCAGUCUGAAAAUCCUUUUAUUUUGACCGCUACUCAUCUUAUCCACAAAUAAUAAAUAAAAUAAAAUAACAAAAGUAUCGAAAAAUGUGGCAGAAGAUUGAAAGUUGAAACAAUAAAAUUAUUGAGAAACAAAUUUACUCUAGGAAAGGAAAAAAAAAGGAAGAAAAGCCAAAACAUGCAAAUCAGACUUAACAUAAUUCG